Molecule: long non-coding RNA, 199 nt
Filed under: Lathyrus oleraceus (garden pea)
Lineage: Eukaryota; Viridiplantae; Streptophyta; Magnoliopsida; Fabales; Fabaceae
Description: Pisum sativum (pea) long non-coding RNA (PSAT_LNC010902)
Source: RNAcentral
AACGGGGUUCAUGAUUUGGCAAACAAGAGUAAUAUGAAGUUGUCAGGGUUCAAAUGCGGUGAUCCGGGAUCAUCCACGCGAAAGAAAAUAAGUUUCGGGGUUCAAGAAAAACAACAAAAAAAUCAAUCAGGGAAGUACCGGUGUUCAAGAAAAGAAAAAAAAUCAGAAAAUUUUGGGGUUCACGAAAAAGCAAGAAAAG